UACCAGCUCUCCGAGUGGUAGGGAUGAUUAUUGGGCUUAAAGCGUCCGUAGCCGGCUUAGCAAGUCUCCUGUUAAAUUCAGCGACCUAAUCGUUGAGCCGCGGGAGAUACUACUAGGCUAGGAGGCGGGAGAGGUCGACGGUACUUCCGGGGGUAGGGGUGAAAUCCUAUAAUCCCGGGAGGACCACCAGUGGCGAAGGCUGUCGACUAGAACGCGCUCGACGGUGAGGGACGAAAGCUGGGGGAGCGAACCGGAUUAGAUACCCGGGUAGUCCCAGCUGUAAACGAUGCGGGCUAGGUGUUGGGGUGGCUACGUGCCACUUCAGUGCCGCAGGGAAGCCAUUAAGCCCGCCGCCUGGGGAGUACGGCCGCAAGGCUGAAACUUAAAGGAAUUGGCGGGGGAGCACCACAAGGCGUGAAGCUUGCGGUUC
RNAcentral lists this ribosomal RNA (430 nucleotides) under uncultured archaeon. RNAcentral describes it as "bacterial SSU rRNA". It matches the Rfam family "Archaeal small subunit ribosomal RNA", at positions 474 to 903 of the family's 1478-position model. The record is from RNAcentral.